RNAcentral lists this ribosomal RNA (515 nucleotides) under uncultured bacterium. RNAcentral's name for it is "bacterial SSU rRNA". It matches the Rfam family "Bacterial small subunit ribosomal RNA", at positions 32 to 521 of the family's 1533-position model. The record is from RNAcentral.
AAUCAACGCUGGCGGCGUGCCUCAGACAUGCAAGUCGAACGCGAAACCUUCCUUCGGGAGGGGAGUAGAGUGGCGCACGGGUGAGUAACACGUAGGUAAUCUACCUUUGGGUGGGGAAUAACAGCCGGAAACGGCUGCUAAUACCGCAUAAUGCAGCGGCUCGACAUCGAGACAGUUGUUAAAGCGGGGGAUCGUAAGACCUCGCGCCUAAAGAGGAGCCUGCGGCAGAUAGCUAGUUGGUAAGGUAACGGCUUACCAAGGCGACGAUCUGUAGCCGGCCUGAGAGGGCGGUCGGCCACACUGACACUGACAUACGGGUCAGACUCCUACGGGAGGCAGCAGUCGGGAAUUUUGGGCAAUGGGCGAAAGCCUGACCCAGCAACGCCGCGUGAAGGAUGAAAUCCCUCGGGAUGUAAACUUCGCAAGAAUAGGGAAGAAUAAGGAGGGGUUAAUAACCCUUUUAGAUGACGGUACUAUUUGUAAGCUCCGGCUAACUCCGUGCCAGCAGCCGCUGU